RNAcentral lists this long non-coding RNA (1289 nucleotides) under Brassica rapa (field mustard). RNAcentral describes it as "long non-coding RNA (BRAP_LNC001275)". The record is from RNAcentral. Lineage: Eukaryota; Viridiplantae; Streptophyta; Magnoliopsida; Brassicales; Brassicaceae.
UAGGAUUUAUGUUUUUAAACUUAUAUUUUAUGUUUGAGGAUGCUUAUUAUUUUGUAUGCUUGAUUGUCUAAACAGAGCUAACAUUAGGCAAGGAACAUCAAGUUUGACUCCAAGCACAUGCGAACAUAUCUGCGCUCCGCCAUCGAUCGAUAAGGAGAGGAUUACAUCGAUCGAUUCUGAGCGCGUAACAUCGAUCGAUAUGGAGAGGAGUACAUCGAUCGAUGUGUAGUACGGAUAGGUACUUCAUUUUUACUCUAACAUUCUCAAAACAUCUGACUUGAUUUUACCAACCCUUGAACACUUUGCACCGAGUCGGUGCAAUUUAGGCCUGGGGGAGGCAGUUACUAACACCUUUUUCUCGAGUUUUUGUCAAAAAAAAAAAAAUCUUUUUAAAAAAAUCUUUUUAAAAAAAUAAAAAAAAGUAUAAAAUAUAUAAUUUUAUGGAGUCAAGAAGGGGAUUAUGAACUAAUGAUUUCUACUUGAAUGUCUAACCACUUUCUAGCACCAUUCUAGAUUUACUGACUGCAGACAAUACUAUAGAUGCUAAAGUGGAUCGACCAGUCAACUAUGCACACUUGCUAACUUGUUAGAAAGAACCGAAGCUAACCUCCAACACUAACCUGACUUCACUGCUUGUUUUGGGGCUUGGUAUACAUGGGAUCGGAUUUUUCAGACAAGUCUGGAAGGUAACGCCUGGUUUAGAUUAUUUAUCACAUUUUCUCUCUCUAGAUUUCGACCCUAGAUUAGUUAUAAAGGAAAAAAAAAAAGAAAAAAAAGAGGAUCUAUUGUUUAAUUAGGAUGAGUCUGAACAGGACUUGGUGGCUAAAACCAUUAAGGCUUGAUUCAUAAAGACUCAAAUAAAAGAGUUCGAAACGGGACUUGGAGGCGGUAAUCUUCAAGGCUCGCUUUCGCAAAGAACUCUCGGAUAUAGGUCAAAAAGAAGUGAACAGAACUUGGUGGCAACCACCAUUAAGUUUUGAUUCAUGGAAGCCUGUCCAAUCUUGGUCACUGAUCCUGCAAUGGAAGCAGACUUUGACCCAAGAGAAAAAUUUAGAGAGAGAGACAUUAGGAACUAACUUUUACCUGCAGCUCCAGAUACUUGUCUGAAAUCCUUGCAUCCUGUGAUCGAUACUCCCAAGGUAAAGCCUACACUUUUUACAUUAAGAUUGGUUAAGAUUGUUGGCUAGAUGAUUUUGGUUGCUAAGCUAGGAUAUUGCAUAAUGUAUAUAUGUAAGAAGGAACCUUAGAUGUGGAAUGCAAUAUUAUAGAGGUGAUGACUUCAAUAUUUC